UACGGAGGGUGCAAGCGUUAUUCGGAAUUACUGGGCGUAAAGCGCGUGCAGGCGGGUAUGCAAGUCUGAUGUGAAAGCCCCGGGCUCAACCUGGGAAGUGCAUUGGAAACUGCAUAUCUUGAGUGCUGGAGAGGAAGGGGGAAUUCCCGGUGUAGAGGUGAAAUUCGUAGAGAUCGGGAGGAAUACCAGUGGCGAAGGCGCCCUUCUGGACGGCAACUGACGCUGAGACGCGAAAGCGUGGGGAGCAAACAGG
RNAcentral lists this ribosomal RNA (253 nucleotides) under Syntrophobacter sp. RNAcentral describes it as "partial 16S ribosomal RNA". It matches the Rfam family "Bacterial small subunit ribosomal RNA", at positions 524 to 776 of the family's 1533-position model. The record is from RNAcentral. Lineage: Bacteria; Pseudomonadati; Thermodesulfobacteriota; Syntrophobacteria; Syntrophobacterales; Syntrophobacteraceae. RNAcentral also lists the same sequence under 1 other name.